GCGUUGGAGCUCUCCCAUAUGGUCGACCUGCAGGCGGCCGCGAAUUCACUAGUGAUUCGUAUUACCGCGGCUGCUGGCACAGAGUUAGCCGGUGCUUCUUCUGUAGGUAAUGUCAAUCCUUAGUGCUAUUAACACUAAGGCCUUCUUCCCUACCGAAAGUGCUUUACAACCCGCAGGCCUUCUUCACACACGCGGCAUUGCUGGAUCAGGCUUUCGCCCAUUGUCCAAUAUUCCCCACUGCUGCCUCCCGUAGGAGUCUGGGCCGUGUCUCAGUCCCAGUGUGGCUGAUCAUUCUCUCAAACCAGCUACAGAUCAUUGGCUUGGUAGGCCAUUACCCUACCAACUACCUAAUCUGGCGCGGGCUCAUCCAUCAGCGAUAAAUCUUUCCUCCAAAGAGAAUAUACGGUAUUAGCAAUUAUUUCUAAAUGUUAUUCCGUACUGAUGGGCAGAUUCCCACGUGUUACUCACCCGUCUGCCACUAAUUUAUUUAAAGCAAGCUCUAAAUAAAUCCGUUCGACUUGCAUGUGUUAAGCAUACCGAAAGCGUUCGUUCUGAGCCAUGAUCAAACUCUAAUCGAAUUCCCGCGGCC
Molecule: ribosomal RNA, 589 nt
Filed under: uncultured Alphaproteobacteria bacterium
Lineage: Bacteria; Pseudomonadati; Pseudomonadota; Alphaproteobacteria
Description: partial 16S ribosomal RNA
Source: RNAcentral